GUCGAGGGGCAGCGGGAAGGUUAGCUUGCUAACCUUUGCCGGCGACCGGCGCACGGGUGAGUAACACGUAUGCAACCUGUCCGGUACAGGGGGAUAAGCGGCGGAAACGCCGUCUAAUACCGCGUGACAACCCGAGGGGGCAUCCCCUUGGGUUCAAAGGAGAGAUCCGGUACCGGCUGGGCAUGCGGCGCAUUAGCUAGUUGGCGGGGCAACGGCCCACCAAGGCGACGAUGCGUAGGGGUUCUGAGAGGAAGGUCCCCCACACUGGAACUGAGACACGGUCCAGACUCCUACGGGAGGCAGCAGUGAGGAAUAUUGGUCAAUGGGCGCAAGCCUGAACCAGCCAAGUCGCGUGAGGGAAGACGGCCCUACGGGUUGUAAACCUCUUUUGCCGGGGAGCAAGCCUGAGCACGUGUGCCCAGGCGGAGAGUACCCGGAGAAAAAGCAUCGGCUAACUCCGUGCCAGCAGCCGCGGUAAUACGGAGGAUGCGAGCGUUAUCCGGAUUUAUUGGGUUUAAAGGGUGCGCAGGCGGGCUGUUAAGCCGGCGGUAAAAAUUCAGGGCUCAACCCUGUCGAGCCGUCGGAACUGGCAGUCUUGAGUGGGCGAGAAGUAUGCGGAAUGCGUGGUGUAGCGGUGAAAUGCAUAGAUAUCAAGAGAAACGCCGAUUGCGAAGGCAGCAUACCGGCGCCCAACUGACGCUGAGGCACGUAAGCGUGGGGAU
Molecule: ribosomal RNA, 722 nt
Filed under: uncultured bacterium
Lineage: Bacteria
Description: bacterial SSU rRNA
Rfam family: Bacterial small subunit ribosomal RNA
Source: RNAcentral